This 416-nucleotide small RNA is filed under the name Histoplasma ohiense. RNAcentral describes it as "hypothetical lncRNA". The record is from RNAcentral. Lineage: Eukaryota; Fungi; Ascomycota; Eurotiomycetes; Onygenales; Ajellomycetaceae.
GAGCCUCUCUACUCUUCCAUGAAGAAUUUGGAUGCUCCUGCCAGAGCUUUGUCAUCUCCAUUGAUGAUGAUGAUGAUGAUGAUGAUGAUGAUGAUGAUGAUGAUGAUGGUGAUGGUGAUGGCGAUGGUGAUUGUGAUGUGAACAAAUCAGUCACAAAAUGAAUUCAAUCCAUACCUUCUAAUUUUUCUUUUGUUGCUUGAAAUUGCACCGAUUUCCUGUUUUUUUUUUUCAGCCAUCUUUUUUGAAUUCCUAACAUGUUAUGUAUGUACUGACCAAAUACACAGAAAUUUAAAUUAAAUCUGAUAUUCAACAUCCAACUCCAAAAAAAAGAAAAAGAAAAAAAAGAAAAAAAGAAAGAAAAAGAAAAGACAAAGAAAAAAGAAAAAAAAGGAGACGCCUUGCUGGAGAGAUACAAG